UACGUAGGCGGAAAAUUAAGUCAGUAGUGAAAUCCUGCAGCUUAACUGUAGAACUGUUAUUGAUACUGGCUUUCUUGAAUAUAGUUGAGGUAGGCGGAAUGUGUAAUGUAGCGGUGAAAUGCUUAGAUAUUACACAGAACACCGAUUGCGAAGGCAGCUUACUAAGCUAUGAUUGACGCUGAGGUACGAAAGCGUGGGGAGCGAACAGGAUUAGAUACCCUGGUAGUCC
RNAcentral lists this ribosomal RNA (229 nucleotides) under uncultured bacterium. RNAcentral describes it as "partial 16S ribosomal RNA". It matches the Rfam family "Bacterial small subunit ribosomal RNA", at positions 568 to 796 of the family's 1533-position model. The record is from RNAcentral.